AGUGAACGCUGGCGGUAGGCCUAACACAUGCAAGUCGAACGGCAGCACAGGAGAGCUUGCUCUCUGGGUGGCGAGUGGCGGACGGGUGAGGAAUACAUCGGAAUCUACUCUGUCGUGGGGGAUAACGUAGGGAAACUUACGCUAAUACCGCAUACGACCUACGGGUGAAAGCAGGGGACCUUCGGGCCUUGCGCGAUUGAAUGAGCCGAUGUCGGAUUAGCUAGUUGGCGGGGUAAAGGCCCACCAAGGCGACGAUCCGUAGCUGGUCUGAGAGGAGGAUCAGCCACACUGAAACUGAGACACGGUUCAGACUCCUACGGGAGGCAGCAGUGGGGAAGAUUGGACAAUGGGCGCAAGCCUGAUCCGGCCAUACCGCGUGGGUGAAGAAGGCCUUCGGGUUGUAAAGCCCUUUUGUUGGGAAAGAAAUCCAGCUGGCUAAUACCCGGUUGGGAUGACGGUACCCAAAGAAUAAGCACCGGCUAACUUCGUGCCAGCCGCCGCAGUAA
RNAcentral lists this ribosomal RNA (506 nucleotides) under uncultured bacterium. Its description in RNAcentral is "partial 16S ribosomal RNA". It matches the Rfam family "Bacterial small subunit ribosomal RNA", at positions 29 to 523 of the family's 1533-position model. The record is from RNAcentral.